RNAcentral lists this ribosomal RNA (497 nucleotides) under uncultured bacterium. RNAcentral describes it as "partial 16S ribosomal RNA". It matches the Rfam family "Bacterial small subunit ribosomal RNA", at positions 28 to 507 of the family's 1533-position model. The record is from RNAcentral.
GAUGAACGCUGGCGGCGUGCCUAAUACAUGCAAGUCGAUCGAACAGAUGAGGAGCUUGCUCCUCUGACGUUAGCGGCGGACGGGUGAUUAACACGUGUAUAACCUACCUAUAAGACUGGGAUAACUUCGGGAAACCGGAGCUAAUACCGGAUAAUAUAUUGAACCGCAUGGUUCAAUAGUGAAAGACGGUUUUGCUGUCACUUAUAGAUGGAUCCGCGCCGCAUUAGCUAGUUGGUAAGGUAACGGCUUACCAAGGCAACGAUGCGUAGCCGACCUGAGAGGGUGAUCGGCCACACUGCAACUCAGACACGCUCCAGACUACUACGGGAGGACGCAGCACGGACUCUAACGCAAUGAGAGAAAGAGUGACGGCGCACAGCCGCGUCAGCGAGGAAGGUCUUCGCAUCCUACAAGUCUGUUAUUAGGGAUGAAGGAAUGUCUACGUAGCUACACACGCAUUGACGGUACCAAGUCAGCAAACCACGACUAACCACGUA